AGGGCACCACCAGGAGUGGAGCCUGCGGCUUAAUUUGACUCAACACGGGAAAACUCACCCGGCCCGGACACUGGAAGGAUUGACAGAUAGAGAGCUCUUUCUUGAUUCAGUGGGUGGUGGUGCAUGGCCGUUCUUAGUUGGUGGAGUGAUUUGUCUGGUUAAUUCCGAUAACGAACGAGACUCUAGCCUACUAAAUAGAUCGUCGGCUUACAAACGCCGACGAGACUUCUUAGAGGGACAGGCGGUGAUUCAACCGCACGAAACAGAGCAAUAACAGGUCUGUGAUGCCCUUAGAUGUCCGGGGCCGCACGCGCGCUACACUGAAGUGAUCAGCGUGCUUUUUCAACCUACUCUGUCAAGAGUGGGAAACCCAAUGAACCUUCUUCGUGAUUGGGAUAGGGGAUUGUAAUUAUUCCCCUUGAACGAGGAAUUCCCAGUAAGCGCGAGUCAUAAGCUCGCGUUGAUUACGUCCCUGCCCUUUGUACACACCGCCCGUCGCUACUACCGAUUGAAUGUUUU
This 519-nucleotide ribosomal RNA is filed under the name uncultured eukaryote. Its description in RNAcentral is "SSU rRNA". It matches the Rfam family "Eukaryotic small subunit ribosomal RNA", at positions 1161 to 1699 of the family's 1831-position model. The record is from RNAcentral.